RNAcentral lists this ribosomal RNA (325 nucleotides) under Enterococcus faecalis. RNAcentral describes it as "partial 23S ribosomal RNA". It matches the Rfam family "Bacterial large subunit ribosomal RNA", at positions 184 to 503 of the family's 2925-position model. Lineage: Bacteria; Bacillati; Bacillota; Bacilli; Lactobacillales; Enterococcaceae. The record is from RNAcentral.
CCCGGGGAACUGAAACAUCUAAGUACCCGGAGGAAGAGAAAGCAAAUGCGAUUCCCUGAGUAGCGGCGAGCGAAACGGGAUCAGCCCAAACCAAGAGGCUUGCCUCUUGGGGUUGUAGGACACUCUGUACGGAGUUACAAAGGAACGAGGUAGAUGAAGAGGUCUGGAAAGGCCCGCCAUAGGAGGUAACAGCCCUGUAGUCAAAACUUCGUUCUCUCCUGAGUGGAUCCUGAGUACGGCGGAACACGUGAAAUUCCGUCGGAAUCCGGGAGGACCAUCUCCCAAGGCUAAAUACUCCCUAGUGACCGAUAGUGAACCAGUACCG